This is a long non-coding RNA of Choloepus didactylus (southern two-toed sloth), 1180 nucleotides long. RefSeq lists it as uncharacterized. The transcript is spliced from 3 exons. Lineage: Eukaryota; Metazoa; Chordata; Mammalia; Pilosa; Megalonychidae. The record is from RefSeq and is a predicted model, not a curated record.
CACGGAAGCUCAUUGCUUGGUUGUGGAAGGCAGCCUCCUUGUGAUCACAUGUCUGAGGAAGAAAGGCAGGGACCAGGGAAUGGCAGGGAAAUGGAGCCAGAACCCUAACUGAACCCCACCUGAAAUCUGCCAGCUUUUAGACUUCUACUGAUCAAUUGAUGGAGUGUAUGCUGAUGUAUAGGUUCACAAGAUUGAAGCAGUCUGGAAUGCUAAACCAACACUUGGAGAAGAGCUGCCCUGGAGAGUCAGCCAACUUGCAACAGAUGAUGUGAGCAAGUUUUGGAAUCUUUUGCCUUGAGUGCAUGACCAUCCAGAAACCAGAGUCAGACAAGCCUUAUUCGCCUGAUGAGAUCCAUUGACUAAAAAUUCUUCUUUGCUGUGGUCACUUCUCUGAAUACUAAUCCUAGGAUGGAAACCUAGAAAUCAAUCAUUGUAACACCAUCAGAUGCUGGUUCAUUCUGUUCUGGAAUGUACAUAGGCACAGCAAGCAUCCCAUGGCUCCAACUAUGAGAAAAUACUUAGAAACACAAGGAAAACGUAACUUUCAAGUCUGUCUUUUAUUUCUCUUUCAAGACUUUGAUUGCCAAUAGGACAAGAGCUUUCUUGAUUCAGUUAAUUAGAAACUGAUUUUAUGGAAUGUUAGAUCCUCAGAACUCCUAAAACUGUUAGAUGAAGGUUGGUGCCAGUAGGUUUUGCUUCACACAAAAUAACUAUUCUCUCAGUAAGAAAGUUUUUAUUUGAUAUAUUUUUAAAUGAUUUAUUUUCAAAGCUAUCCAAAGAAUAGCACAAGAACUCUUGGACCAAGAAAAGUUAUGCCAUCUUCUGAAAAUUCAAAAUUAUAUGUUUGUCAUGAGAUUUGCUUUCAAUUUUCAGUUCCCUUAUAGGUCAUUCUGAACUUAUGAUUCAGGUUUGCUUUUGCCUAACUUAUCACUUUUAAAAAUAACACUUCUCUCCAUGAACUAUUUAGUUUGGAAUGGCUAGUAAAAAUGGAAAAGGCUUUAGGAAAAUUUGAAUAAAGAUUUCCUUUAAAGAGAUUUAAGACUUCACAUUUUAGAUUAACUCAACAUAUAACUGGAUUCAAUAGUCUUCCUGUUGCUAAGUGGUCAGCUUUGCAAUCAGAAAAACAGGUAAAAAUCCUGAGUCUACCACUAACUAGCUGUAUGCAUAGGCAAGAUAACUA